UACAGAGGGUGCAAGCGUUGUUCGGAAUUAUUGGGCGUAAAGCGCGUGUAGGCGGCUUUGCAAGUCGGGUGUGAAAGCCCUCAGCUUAACUGAGGAAGUGCGCCCGAAACUGCAAGGCUUGAGUACCGGAGAGGAUGGUGGAAUUCCCCAAGUAGAGGUGAAAUUCGUAGAUAUGGGGAGGAACACCGGUGGCGAAGGCGACCAUCUGGACGGAUACUGACGCUGAGACGCGAAAGCGUGGGUAGCAAACAGG
This 253-nucleotide ribosomal RNA is filed under the name uncultured bacterium. Its description in RNAcentral is "partial 16S ribosomal RNA". It matches the Rfam family "Bacterial small subunit ribosomal RNA", at positions 524 to 776 of the family's 1533-position model. The record is from RNAcentral.